RNAcentral lists this transfer RNA (68 nucleotides) under chicken gut metagenome. It matches the Rfam family "tRNA". From Rfam's summary of the family: Transfer RNA (tRNA) molecules are approximately 80 nucleotides in length. RNAcentral also lists the same sequence under 1 other name. The record is from RNAcentral.
GAAAUAGCUCAGUUUGGUAGAGCACUUGGUUUGGGACCAAGGGGUCGCAGGUUCGAAUCCUGUUUUCC